ACUCAGUUGGUAGAGUACAAAGCUCUUAACCUUAUGGACGUGGGUUCAAGCCCCAU
This is a non-coding RNA of Triticum aestivum (bread wheat), 56 nucleotides long. The record is from Rfam. NCBI's taxonomy places the organism in Eukaryota, Viridiplantae, Streptophyta, Magnoliopsida, Poales, Poaceae.